This 427-nucleotide ribosomal RNA is filed under the name uncultured bacterium. Its description in RNAcentral is "bacterial SSU rRNA". It matches the Rfam family "Bacterial small subunit ribosomal RNA", at positions 917 to 1344 of the family's 1533-position model. The record is from RNAcentral.
GGGCCCGCACAAGCGGUGGAGUAUGUGGUUUAAUUCGAUGCAACGCGAAGAACCUUACCAGGGUUUGACAUCCUGCGAAUCUCUUGGAAACAGGAGAGUGCCUUCGGGAACUCUGAGACAGGUGCUGCAUGGCUGUCGUCAGCUCGUGUUGUGAGAUGUUGGGUUAAGUCCCGCAACGAGCGCAACCCCUAUCCUUAGUUACCAGCACUUCGGGUGGGAACUCUAAGGAUACUGCCAGUGACAAACUGGAGGAAGGCGGGGACGACGUCAAGUCAUCAUGGCCCUUACGACCAGGGCUACACACGUGCUACAAUGGUAGGUACAGAGGGCAGCUACACAGCGAUGUGAUGCGAAUCUCAAAAAGCCUAUCGUAGUCCAGAUUGGAGUCUGCAACUCGACUCCAUGAAGUAGGAAUCGCUAGUAAUCG